GUAAACGAUGUCGACUUGGAGGUUGUGCCCUUGAGGCGUGGCUUCCGGAGCUAACGCGUUAAGUCGACCGCCUGGGGAGUACGGCCGCAAGGUUAAAACUCAAAUGAAUUGACGGGGGCCCGCACAAGCGGUGGAGCAUGUGGUUUAAUUCGAUGCAACGCGAAGAACCUUACCUGGCCUUGACAUCCACGGAAUUUGGCAGAGAUGCCUUAGUGCCUUCGGGAACCGUGAGACAGGUGCUGCAUGGCUGUCGUCAGCUCGUGUUGUGAAAUGUUGGGUUAAGUCCCGCAACGAGCGCAACCCUUAUCCUUUGUUGCCAGCACGUAAUGGUGGGAACUCAAAGGAGACUGCCGGUGAUAAACCGGAGGAAGGUGGGGAUGACGUCAAGUCAUCAUGGCCCUUACGGCCAGGGCUACACACGUGCUACAAUGGCGCAUACAAAGAGAAGCGACCUCGCGAGAGCAAGCGGACCUCAUAAAGUGCGUCGUAGUCCGGAUCGGAGUCUGCAACUCGACUCCGUGAAGUCGGAAUCGCUAGUAAUCGUAGAUCAGAAUGCUACGGGAAACU
RNAcentral lists this ribosomal RNA (567 nucleotides) under uncultured bacterium. RNAcentral's name for it is "bacterial SSU rRNA". It matches the Rfam family "Bacterial small subunit ribosomal RNA", at positions 802 to 1368 of the family's 1533-position model. The record is from RNAcentral.